This 217-nucleotide ribosomal RNA is filed under the name Symbiodinium sp. clade D. RNAcentral's name for it is "partial Bacterial large subunit ribosomal RNA". It matches the Rfam family "Bacterial large subunit ribosomal RNA", at positions 1471 to 1685 of the family's 2925-position model. Lineage: Eukaryota; Dinophyceae; Suessiales; Symbiodiniaceae. The record is from RNAcentral.
GACGGAGAAGGCUAGGCUGGCAUGGCGUUGGUAGUCCAUGUGAAAGUGCGUAGGGUUGGUGUUUAGGAAAAUCCGGACACCUGCAUGCCUGAGACACGAGACGAUGCACCACGGUGCAGAAGCAGUUGAUGCCCGGCUUCCAGGAAAAUCCUCUAAACGUAUGUGCUUAUGAACCGUACCCCAAACCGACACAGGUGGUCAGGUAGAGAAUACUAAG